This 1054-nucleotide ribosomal RNA is filed under the name uncultured bacterium. Its description in RNAcentral is "bacterial SSU rRNA". It matches the Rfam family "Bacterial small subunit ribosomal RNA", at positions 336 to 1393 of the family's 1533-position model. The record is from RNAcentral.
CUCCUACGGGAGGCAGCAGUGAGGAAUAUUGGUCAAUGGGCGCAGGCCUGAACCAGCCAAGUAGCGUGAAGGAUGACUGCCCUAUGGGUUGUAAACUUCUUUUAUAUGGGAAUAAAGUUUUCCACGUGUGGAAUUUUGUAUGUACCAUAUGAAUAAGGAUCGGCUAACUCCGUGCCAGCAGCCGUGGUAAUACGGAGGAUCCGAGCGUUAUCCGGAUUUAUUGGGUUUAAAGGGAGCGUAGGUGGACAGUUAAGUCAGUUGUGAAAGUUUGCGGCUCAACCGUAAAAUUGCAGUUGAUACUGGCUGUCUUGAGUACAGUAGAGGUGGGCGGAAUUCGUGGUGUAGCGGUGAAAUGCUUAGAUAUCACGAAGAACUCCGAUUGCGAAGGCAGCUCACUGGACUGCAACUGACACUGAUGCUCGAAAGUGUGGGUAUCAAACAGGAUUAGAUACCCUGGUAGUCCACACAGUAAACGAUGAAUACUCGCUGUUUGCGAUAUACAGUAAGCGGCCAAGCGAAAGCAUUAAGUAUUCCACCUGGGGAGUACGCCGGCAACGGUGAAACUCAAAGGAAUUGACGGGGGCCCGCACAAGCGGAGGAACAUGAGGUUUAAUUCGAUGAUACGCGAGGAACCUUACCCGGGCUUAAAUUGCAUUUGAAUAUAUUGGAAACAGUAUAGUCGUAAGACAAAUGUGAAGGUGCUGCAUGGUUGUCGUCAGCUCGUGCCGUGAGGUGUCGGCUUAAGUGCCAUAACGAGCGCAACCCUUAUCUUUAGUUACUAACAGGUCAUGCUGAGGACUCUAGAGGGACUGCCGUCGUAAGAUGUGAGGAAGGUGGGGAUGACGUCAAAUCAGCACGGCCCUUACGUCCGGGGCUACACACGUGUUACAAUGGGGGGUACAGAAGGCAGCUACCUGGUGACAGGAUGCUAAUCCCAAAAGCCUCUCUCAGUUCGGAUCGAAGUCUGCAACCCGACUUCGUGAAGCUGGAUUCGCUAGUAAUCGCGCAUCAGCCAUGGCGCGGUGAAUACGUUCCCGGGCCUUGUACACACCGC